This 71-nucleotide transfer RNA is filed under the name Dermacentor silvarum. RNAcentral describes it as "transfer RNA cysteine (anticodon GCA)". It matches the Rfam family "tRNA". Rfam says of the family: Transfer RNA (tRNA) molecules are approximately 80 nucleotides in length. Their secondary structure includes four short double-helical elements and three loops (D, anti-codon, and T loops). Further hydrogen bonds mediate the characteristic L-shaped molecular structure. tRNAs have two regions of fundamental functional importance: the anti-codon, which is responsible for specific mRNA codon recognition, and the 3' end, to which the tRNAs corresponding amino acid is attached (by aminoacyl-tRNA synthetases). tRNAs cope with the degeneracy of the genetic code in two manners: having more than one tRNA (with a specific anti-codon) for a particular amino acid; and 'wobble' base-pairing, i.e. permitting non-standard base-pairing at the 3rd anti-codon position. Lineage: Eukaryota; Metazoa; Arthropoda; Arachnida; Ixodida; Ixodidae. The record is from RNAcentral.
GCGUCGGUGGUUCAGUGGUAGAAUACUCGCCUGCACCGCGGGUGGCCCGGGUUCGAUUCCCGGCCGACGCA